This 780-nucleotide long non-coding RNA is filed under the name Capsicum annuum. RNAcentral describes it as "long non-coding RNA (CANN_LNC000653)". The record is from RNAcentral. Lineage: Eukaryota; Viridiplantae; Streptophyta; Magnoliopsida; Solanales; Solanaceae.
AUUUAUUCAUUAUCAGUGUAUAAAUGUAUAAAAGUAGUGAAAGGGUCAUAAUCUGUUUGAAAAUGACACCAAAAUAGUGAGCAAAUAAAAUAGUCGUGAACAAAUAUCCAAACAUCCAACCAACUGCACAGACAGCUACAACUAAGUCACUUGAGAAAAUCCAAUAAUCCAACCAACAACGUCAUAGGCAAUAGUAAAAAAAUAAAGAGCAUGUCAUGAGUUUCAUCAAAAAGGACGUAAAAAGAAAAAAAUAUUCUUCUAAUCUUUAAUAUUUUCUACCUAAUCUUCAUAGAACCACAAUGUAAAAUCAAAAACCAAUUAAAGUAACAAAGUAAUCACAAAAUCGGUAGCACUGUAAAAAAUAGAGAAGGACGAGUAGCGCCAUUCCACGACAUUUGCCGGAGCGACGCUAGAGAAAAAAUUAAUCCAACCAGAUCUGGCCCUUUUUCAAUGGAGCAGCGUAGUCCAAGACUCGCCGGUCACUCUCUCCAGUUAGAGGCGACUGUAAAAGGGGAAAAAGGAAGAGGGCCGCGUUGGUGGCCGGAUCUGGUGCUGGAAACUCGCCAGUCAUCACCUCCGGCGACCCAGUGGUGAAAUGAAGUGGAAGGAAGGGGGAGCAGCGGCAGAGUUGUUGAUAGUGUUAAUGGCUGCCGGCCAUCCCGUGGUCAAGCCCGGCGGCGGCAGAUCGGAUAAAGAGAGAGAUGCGUAUGUAUGGUGAAUUGUGUGUGUUGUGUGUGUAGUGUGCGUUGGUUUUUAUAGAGAGAAAAAAUGGAGGAAAAA